UACGGGGGGGGCAAGCGUUGUUCGGAAUUACUGGGCGUAAAGGGCUCGUAGGUGGCCAACUAAGUCAGACGUGAAAUCCCUCGGCUUAACCGGGGAACUGCGUCUGAUACUGGAUGGCUUGAGUUUGGGAGAGGGAUGCGGAAUUCCAGGUGUAGCGGUGAAAUGCGUAGAUAUCAAGAGGAACACCUGAGGUGAAGACGGGUUGCUGGGCCGACACUGACGCUGAGUGCGCGAAAGCCAGGGGAGCAAACGGG
RNAcentral lists this ribosomal RNA (254 nucleotides) under uncultured bacterium. Its description in RNAcentral is "partial 16S ribosomal RNA". It matches the Rfam family "Bacterial small subunit ribosomal RNA", at positions 524 to 776 of the family's 1533-position model. The record is from RNAcentral.